AUUGAACGCUGGCGGCAAGCCUAACACAUGCAAGUCGAGCGGAUGAAGGGAGCUUGCUCCUGGAUUCAGCGGCGGACGGGUGAGUAAUGCCUAGGAAUCUGCCUGGUAGUGGGGGAUAACGUCCGGAAACGGGCGCUAAUACCGCAUACGUCCUGAGGGAGAAAGUGGGGGAUCUUCGGACCUCACGCUAUCAGAUGAGCCUAGGUCGGAUUAGCUAGUUGGUGGGGUAAAGGCCUACCAAGGCGACGAUCCGUAACUGGUCUGAGAGGAUGAUCAGUCACACUGGAACUGAGACACGGUCCAGACUCCUACGGGAGGCAGCAGUGGGGAAUAUUGGACAAUGGGCGGAAGCCUGAUCCAGCCAUGCCGCGUGUGUGAAGAAGGUCUUCGGAUUGUAAAGCACUUUAAGUUGGGAGGAAGGGCAGUAAGUUAAUACCUUGCUGUUUUGACGUUACCAACAGAAUAAGCACCGGCUAACUUCGUG
RNAcentral lists this ribosomal RNA (484 nucleotides) under uncultured bacterium. RNAcentral describes it as "partial 16S ribosomal RNA". It matches the Rfam family "Bacterial small subunit ribosomal RNA", at positions 30 to 507 of the family's 1533-position model. The record is from RNAcentral.